This 922-nucleotide ribosomal RNA is filed under the name uncultured Bacteroidota bacterium. Its description in RNAcentral is "bacterial SSU rRNA". It matches the Rfam family "Bacterial small subunit ribosomal RNA", at positions 1 to 916 of the family's 1533-position model. Lineage: Bacteria; Pseudomonadati; Bacteroidota. The record is from RNAcentral.
UGGAUCCAGACUUUGAUCCUGGCUCAGGAUGAACGCUAGCUACAGGCUUAACACAUGCAAGUCGAGGGGCAGCAUGAACUUAGCUUGCUAAGUUUGAUGGCGACCGGCGCACGGGUGAGUAACACGUAUCCAGCCUGCCGAUGACUCGGGGAUAGCCUUUCGAAAGAAAGAUUAAUACCCGAUGGCAUAGUUCUUCCGCAUGGUAGAACUAUUAAAGAAUUUCGGUCAUCGAUGGGGAUGCGUUCCAUUAGGUUGUUGGCGGGGUAACGGCCCACCAAGCCUUCGAUGGAUAGGGGUUCUGAGAGGAAGGUCCCCCACAUUGGAACUGAGACACGGUCCAAACUCCUACGGGAGGCAGCAGUGAGGAAUAUUGGUCAAUGGACGAGAGUCUGAACCAGCCAAGUAGCGUGAAGGAUGACUGCCCUAUGGGUUGUAAACUUCUUUUAUACGGGAAUAAAGUGAGGCACGUGUGCCUUUUUGUAUGUACCGUAUGAAUAAGGAUCGGCUAACUCCGUGCCAGCAGCCGCGGUAAUACGGAGGAUCCGAGCGUUAUCCGGAUUUAUUGGGUUUAAAGGGAGCGUAGGCGGACGCUUAAGUCAGUUGUGAAAGUUUGCGGCUCAACCGUAAAAUUGCAGUUGAUACUGGGUGUCUUGAGUACAGUAGAGGCAGGCGGAAUUCGUGGUGUAGCGGUGAAAUGCUUAGAUAUCACGAAGAACUCCGAUUGCGAAGGCAGCCUGCUGGACUGUAACUGACGCUGAUGCUCGAAAGUGUGGGUAUCAAACAGGAUUAGAUACCCUGGUAGUCCACACAGUAAACGAUGAAUACUCGCUGUUUGCGAUAUACAGUAAGCGGCCAAGCGAAAGCGUUAAGUAUUCCACCUGGGGAGUACGCCGGCAACGGUGCAACUCAAAGGAAUUGACGG